RNAcentral lists this transfer RNA (75 nucleotides) under Zygosaccharomyces rouxii. RNAcentral's name for it is "tRNA-Phe". It matches the Rfam family "tRNA". Rfam says of the family: Transfer RNA (tRNA) molecules are approximately 80 nucleotides in length. Their secondary structure includes four short double-helical elements and three loops (D, anti-codon, and T loops). Lineage: Eukaryota; Fungi; Ascomycota; Saccharomycetes; Saccharomycetales; Saccharomycetaceae. The record is from RNAcentral.
GCGGAUUUAGCUCAGAUGGGAGAGCGCCAGACUGAAGAUAUCUGGAGGUCCUGUGUUCGAUCCACAGAAUUCGCA